This 22-nucleotide microRNA is filed under the name Macaca mulatta (Rhesus monkey). Its description in RNAcentral is "mml-miR-891b-3p". Its record names the gene mml-miR-891b-3p. The record is from miRBase by way of RNAcentral. Lineage: Eukaryota; Metazoa; Chordata; Mammalia; Primates; Cercopithecidae.
AAUGGCACAUGCUUGUUGUUAG